UCCAGGUUCCGGUACCAGGUUCCGGUUCCUGUAUCGCUGUAUCGUUGUAUCGCUGUAUCGCUUUUUAGUAGUAGCCGUUGUGCCAUAGGUUUAUAGGAAACUCGAUUCAGACAUAAUAGUUUAUAGACCUCAUUAUUUAUGUUUUUCGCUUCAUCGUCACGUGUGUAUUGUUUUUUUCGCUUGAGCAAACAAUAGCAGUGUGUUGGUUUAGUUACCCAGUCAUAUUACACAAUGGGGCCAAAAAAAAUGUGGGUUUCCGGUUUCUUCUUAUAAAAACUUAGCUAGGGUAGGUCGGUUUUAACUUUUUUUUUAAAACUUUUUUUUUUAAUUUUCCGAACAAGCGGACGCCAUUUUGUUUAGUCAGUGCUUCCACAUCCAAA
Molecule: non-coding RNA, 380 nt
Organism: Paramuricea clavata
Lineage: Eukaryota; Metazoa; Cnidaria; Anthozoa; Malacalcyonacea; Plexauridae
Source: the annotation of a GenBank genome assembly